This 1670-nucleotide long non-coding RNA is filed under the name Patiria miniata (bat star). Its description in RNAcentral is "uncharacterized LOC119742647". The record is from RNAcentral. Lineage: Eukaryota; Metazoa; Echinodermata; Asteroidea; Valvatida; Asterinidae.
UUUCGGCUUGAAAACGCAUGUGACACGCGUUGAGCAUCAAGAAAUGCACACGGGGAAGCUGCUAAACGAGUUCAAAAAUGCUGAAUCUUGCAGCAAAAACGAAGAUUCUGUACUGCUUAUGUCUCGUCGAAGUCAAGAAACCUCCGAUCUCCAUUCACACCACGUUAUAAAGGACAUGGCAGGCAUUGCAUGCCCGCACUCGUCAUGCUCGUGGGAAGAAAUCUGACACCAUUCGGCGGCAUCACGCGGUCGUCGCCGGCCAGCCGUGCCGGGAGUUCGAGCUCGAAACCCCACCACACACAUCGCUUGUGACAGGCACCGCUUUGGAGUCGAGUUUUGGGUGUAAUAUGCGGCUGUAAAUGGAGAUGUUUUGAUUGUCGUUCCUUCUGAUGACGAUCUGACGAUGCAGACCUUGGAAUCUACAUUACGAGACAUGAUGAAGAACUCUGUGAAGAAUAAAACUAUGGCCAGACUUGAACUAAAUUAAAAAAAUCCUUUUAUUUAAUAUACUUUAAAGAUUUUUAAUUAUUUUAAUAAUGGAGACUAGACAUGCAUUAAACAGAAAUGUAACCAUUAACAAAUGUACUCAGAAGUAGUCAGAAGAAAUCAAAAGUAAGUUUACCGACUUAGUCUUAGAAUAGAAUUACAUGGCUUCUGCUGACAACCAAGUACAUGUAUCAUCAAGCCAAUGCGAAACUAGAGACUUUAAUUGUUUAUUUAGACAAAAUAUCUCCUGAUUAAAUUGAUAUUGCAGUAUACAUGUAGUGAACAAAAAUUGCAGUAUGGUUAUAAGACAAAAAUGCUUGGGUCUAGUAACAUCGGCUGUUAUAUUGGAUUCGAAAUUAGGAUUGCAGCAAGGAUUUAAUUUUUCAUUCUAGUGAUGUUCGAAUAAAAGUGUUUUUUUUUACAAAUUAUUUUGUUGAAAGAACAAAAAGCAAAACACUAAAACUGGUCGGUGUUUAAAACUGAAAUUGAAACUAGGGCUUUCAAAAAGAAAGGGAUGGAAAGAGAAAAUUCAAUGAAAUAAUUAUAAUAAUUUAAAUGAGGAAUAGGUCUACUGAAUACUAUUGCUACUUUUCAUAAAUAAUGGAUUAUCUUGUAAUUUAACAGUCUACCAGGUGCAACAAUAAAAAAUUUCACGGAACUGCUUAAACACUCGUGAAUCUGCCUAUGCUUUAGCACGCAGGUAAGUUCCCUAUACAAUUACACGCAAGCUUCUCAUGAAAAGCGUGAAAUACGCGAACGAGAUCAACUUCUGGUUGAGUGCAAAAAAUAUUAGCUCAGUUCUCAUAAAAUGGAAAAAUUACAAUAAUUAAUGGACUACUAGGUCAGCCAAGGCAAAUUUGCUGGAAAAAAAUUUUUUUGGAAUGAUAAAGCAGAACUUUGAGGUUCGUUUUUACGCGUGGAAAGUUCGUGCGCGUUUUUGCGUAGUGACGUCACAAACGCGUGCGUACAGCGUUCUCCCGCGGGAUUUCGGGUGGCCAUUAUCAUAAUUUAUGUGCGCACGCUCAGACCAAGUUGACACUGGUGUCAUAUUUCACUGACGUACGUGAGUGCAGCAGCAAUAUGCAGCAUGCUUUCCCCCCAGCGGACCACACCAUUUGUGGUAAUAAAGGGGUGUUCUUUCUUGGGAACAAUAAUUACCAAUAUUUCCGCUGUUUAAAAAAAAA